AAUUGGCCAAAUGAGAAAAGUAAACCCGCCCAACUGACGACAGGAAGCAGCUAAUUAGGGCUGAAUAAGUUAAAUAUAUUUCGUCUAAUAAUUAUGCAUAAUGACGGGAUACACUAAGAAGCGGGUGGGGCUUAACAGGGGAAAUGACUGCUCGGGCGACCAGUUCGAGAUGUUCUCAACCAUCCUGUUCUCAAUAAUGUUCAUGGACACGCACACUUGACAGCUGCCAUUAGCACCAUCUAUGAAGGAACUUCCUUCUCACUGGAAACAUCGUUGCAACUGCUCUCUGAAGGCGUUUGUGAUUAAGGCUGCAAACCUAUGUUCACUUACUUGGGAGUUAAGCCUCGGUGAUUGUAAUGGGGCUCACUUCUGAGUAGACAGAGAAUCGGCACAAAGGUUUGUUUGUGGGCAGUGCAGUAGCUACAACUUUUUUGCCCUGGGUGAAGCCCCCACAGGAGCUGCCAGCCUGAGUGGAAAGCAUAAUGCUGGUGGUCGACAAAAGAAGUUUAAAGACUCUCUCAAGGCAAAUCUCUUAAAAUGUAGUAUAAACACCAACAACUGGGAAACACUGGCCUGCAAGUGCUCCUGUUGGAGAACAGCCUUUACCAAAGGUGUCGUGGGCUUUGAAGCUUGAAUGUGGGAUGAAUGGGAGAAACAUGCUAAGAGGAAAGCACGCUUGGCAAACCCUCACCAUGAUCAACUCCUGCCCAGAAACCUAUGUGCCCACUGUGGAAGGACAUGUGGAUCCAAAAUUGGCCUCCACAGUCAUUUACGGACUCAUUGUUAAGACCAUGUUCAUGGAAGACAAUCUUACUCAGCUAUGAGUGAUUGCCAAAGAGGAAGAAGUGUGUAUGCAAAUGCACAUGGGUGGGUGUGCCAAACUGGGUCUUUGACCUGGGUAAAAUAAAGCCUAGUUUCACCCCUGCAAGUGGGAAUAGUUGCUUUUACAUUAAGUAUCCUGCUUGUGGGCUUCCCAGAGGUGUAUAGUUGCGACUCUAUGAGAACAGAAUGGACUAGGUGCACUUUUGACCUGAUUCCCACAAGGGUCUUCUUAGUGCCCAUCCACACUGCUGAAUGUUAUGGAUUGUGUACCCCUUGUGCAUCCUUUAAUUCCCCCUCGGGAGCUGGGCUCCCCCCCUUUUAAUUAUUCCACUGUUUGUGUGUUUAAUUGUUAUUUAUUGAAUGUGUUAACACAAAAUACAUAAAAACAACAACAGAACAAUAACCUCCCCUCCCAUAAACACAUUUAGAAAAAUAUAGGAUGUUAAUCCACCCAAGGCAUGGUUGAAGAGGAACGUUUUCCCCUGGUGUUUAAAGGUGUAUAAUGAAGGUGCCAGGCAAGCCUCCCUGGGGACAGCAAUCCACAAACAGGGAGACACUGCAGAAAAGGCCCGUUCUUGUUUUACCACCCUCUGGACCUCUUGCGGAGGAGGCACAUGAAAAAAGGCCUUAGAUGAUGAUUGCAUUUUUUUUUGGUGCAUAAAUGUAAAGCUACCAUUUUGCCUUCACUGCAUAAGGACACUUUUUACCAGUAGAAUACAGGAUUAUCAGAUUUCCGGACUCAGUUCAAGGUUCUGGUUUUGAUCUAUAAAGCCUUGUUUACUUAUUAAAUUUAUAGCCUGCCCUUUUUCCCGAAAUAGCACAGGCGGGCCACUUCUUCCCAUACAAACACGCCUGGACCCUGGGGUCUACAUCAGAAGCCCUUUUCUGGGCACCCAUGGAAGGUGAAGAGGUGCAGCCACAUUCCCCUAAGCUGCAGCCACAUUGCUCAUUGGGAGCUGCUAUGAGUUGCAGAGAAGAAAACCUGAGUUGUUACAUUUCUUAGCUAGCAAAUUUUGCUUUUCCAUGGCUAACAGCAAAUGAGGUCCAUGGAGGAGGAGGAGAAGGGAUAGACCCCUUUUCCGCCAUGCUAUGGUCCUGCUGAAGGGGCAAGUUUGAGAGGCACCUGCACCAUAUGCAUUUUAAAAGCACAUACUGUAGUUUGCUUCAGGGAUGCAUCACAUUGGUCCUCCAGGGGUUGCUGGAGCCGUUUUAGGAAAAUCUCUCUCCCCCCCCCCCCAAUAGUGAUGUUAAGCUUUUUGAGCUGUUUCUGUUGCUUUUCCCAUCACAUUGCCAUACAUCCAUUUCACCUGACAUUUUGCUGAUUCAGCAAAAAUUUCCCGACACCAUUUUUAUGCCCCCAAACUAGGACAUGUCAGGAAACAUGUCAAGCCUUCGCUUGACUCUCAUCAGCUAGCAUGGCCAAUAGUCAGGGAUGAUGGGAGUUGGCUCUGUGGUCUAAACCACUGAGCCUCUUGGGCUUGCUGAUCGGAAGGUUGGUGGUUCAAAUCCCCAUGACAGGUGAGCUCCAGUUGCUCUGUCCCAUCUCCUGCCAACCUAGCAGUUUGAAAGCACACCAGUGCAAGUAGAUAAAUAGGUACCACUGCGACGGGAAGGUAAAUGGCGUUUCUGUGCGCUCUGGCACUCAUUACAGUCCUCCGUGCGCCAGUAGCGGUUUAGUCAUGCUGACCACAUGACCCGGAAAACUGUCUGUGGACAAACACGGGCCCUCAGCCUGAAAGCAAGAUGAGCGCCGCAACCCCAUAGUUGCCUUUGACUGGACUUAACCGUCCAGGGGUCCUUUGCCUUUUUACCUUUACCUAGUCCACCAACAUCUGAAGGCGCACAAGUUCCUUGCCGCUGGCCUACUUCCUUGUGAGUGAUUCCUGUGAAGCCCUUUGUAUGUGUGAACUAGAAAUGUUUUCAAAGCAAGUAGUGUUGGGGGUGGGGCACUGG
Podarcis lilfordi (Lilford's wall lizard) is the source of this 2775-nucleotide non-coding RNA. Lineage: Eukaryota; Metazoa; Chordata; Lepidosauria; Squamata; Lacertidae. The record is from the annotation of a GenBank genome assembly.